This is a long non-coding RNA of Oncorhynchus tshawytscha (Chinook salmon), 689 nucleotides long. The record is from Ensembl. NCBI's taxonomy places the organism in Eukaryota, Metazoa, Chordata, Actinopteri, Salmoniformes, Salmonidae.
GCUGAAAAUAAAGAUAAACAUUGCAUACUUCCUUGCGAAAGAAGAAGCACCUUUCGUCAAAUUUGGGCCAAUUAUCAGACUCCACCACAAAAACAGAGUUCACAUUAAUCCCACAUACGACAAUGAUGUAAGAUGUGCGGGGAUGAUUAGUCAGGUUUCUGACAUGAGAGAGAGCCUGUCAGCGAAGCUGAAAGCCGAGAAUUAUCUUGCCGUUGUAAUAUACAGAGACACUGAUAUAUAUAUACACCGAAUGCGAGAUUGUCUACCUGCGCUUGUUGGAGGAUGGGAAGCCAGUCAAUCUCCUGGUCAGACAACAGACCCUUGAGCACUCCCAUGCCAUUAUGUUUUGGAUGCAACCAAGGCUACAUUUCAUGCUGUUUGCCAAGAGGAGGAUGGAGGGUCAUGGAUGAAGAAGUUCAUCUCCUUCAGGGGCAGAUGGUGCCUCCAUGGGGGAGUGAUUGCCCACCUGAGAGAGGCAGGGGGGCGUAUAGUCACAAUCCACUGUAUGCCACAUAGAUUGGGGUACAACAUGGCUGCAAUCCAGAAGGAGUGGCAGGGGCUGAAAAUUCUGGUCAGUCACAAGUCCCACAGUGGCCUGUGCGAGGCCAUGUUGACAAAAGACCCCUACAGGCACGAUUACAAGAACAUACUGGAGUUGGUGCAGCUUAUGCUGGUGCUGCCCAUUUUAG